This 238-nucleotide ribosomal RNA is filed under the name uncultured bacterium. RNAcentral's name for it is "partial 16S ribosomal RNA". It matches the Rfam family "Bacterial small subunit ribosomal RNA", at positions 116 to 354 of the family's 1533-position model. The record is from RNAcentral.
CGUGAGGAACCUGCCUUUCAGAGGGGGACAACAGCUGGAAACGGCUGCUAAUACCGCAUGACACAUAUUUAUCGCAUGGUAGAUAUGUCAAAGAUUUAUCGCUGAGAGAUGGCCUCGCAUCUGAUUAGCUAGUUGGUAGGGUAACGGCCUACCAAGGCGACGAUCAGUAGCCGGACUGAGAGGUUGGCCGGCCACAUUGGGACUGAGACACGGCCCAAACUCCUACGGAAGGCAGCAG